RNAcentral lists this ribosomal RNA (239 nucleotides) under Pseudopedinella elastica. RNAcentral describes it as "partial Bacterial small subunit ribosomal RNA". It matches the Rfam family "Bacterial small subunit ribosomal RNA", at positions 558 to 796 of the family's 1533-position model. Lineage: Eukaryota; Dictyochophyceae; Pedinellales. The record is from RNAcentral.
GCGUAAAGCGCGCGUAGGUGGUUCGUUAAGUUGGAUGUGAAAUCCCCGGGCUCAACCUGGGAACUGCAUUUGUGACUGCAAGGCUAGAGUACGGCAGAGGGGGAUGGAAUUCCGCGUGUAGCAGUGAAAUGCGUAGAUAUGCGGAGGAACACCGAUGGCGAAGGCAAUCCCCUGGGCCUGUACUGACGCUCAUGCACGAAAGCGUGGGGAGCAAACAGGAUUAGAUACCCUGGUAGUCC